GAUGAACGCUAGCGGCAGGCUUAACACAUGCAAGUCGAGGGGUAUUGGUUUUCGGACCAAGAGACCGGCGCACGGGUGCGUAACGCGUAUGCAAUCUACCUUUUGCAGAGGGAUAGCCCCAGAGAAAUUUGGAUUAAUACCUCAUAGUAUAGUACUUUGGCAUCAAGGAACUAUUAAAGUCACAACGGCAAAGAUGAGCAUGCGUCCCAUUAGCUAGUUGGUAAGGUAACGGCUUACCAAGGCUACGAUGGGUAGGGGUCCUGAGAGGGAGAUCCCCCACACUGGUACUGAGACACGGACCACGAUCCUACGGGAGGCAGCAGUGAGGAAUAUUGGACAAUGGGCGCAAGCCUGAUCCAGCCAUGCCGCGUGCAGGAAUAAGGUCCUAUGGAUUGUAAACUGCUUUUAUACAGGAAGGAACACUCCGACGUGUCGGAGCUUGACGGUACUGUAAGAAUAAGGAUCGGCUAACUCCGUGCCAGCAGCCGCGGUAAAG
This 496-nucleotide ribosomal RNA is filed under the name uncultured bacterium. RNAcentral's name for it is "bacterial SSU rRNA". It matches the Rfam family "Bacterial small subunit ribosomal RNA", at positions 28 to 525 of the family's 1533-position model. The record is from RNAcentral.